GCUUCCACCCGGACGAGAUGACCGGUGUGCGCCCCGGCCUUCCAGCACAAUCCCGUCUGCUCGCAGCUUCCAGGCCCUCUUCAGGAUCGGGACGCCUGCCCCGGGGGCCACCACAGCGCCGCCGCCCCCCCACCGAGAGAGCCGCGCUCAACACAGCGCUCGUGAGGCUGCUCGGAAAACAUUCGUGGACACAGAGAAAAGAAAUCCUCUUGUGUGAACUGUCCUGGGUGCGAUGGUCCCUAGACAGACCUCUGGGAAGAGGAGGAAGGACUCCGAAGGGCUACGGAGCAGGCAGGCAGGACAGGAGCUGAGAGAGAGACGGGAGAGAGGCAGCAGCACGAGCUCCUGUCCUCCUGGGAGCACACUGCCCUACUUCGCUCUGUUAGAAGGCGCUGGUUUAAUUGCUGGAGGGGCUUCAUAGGAAACACGUGCGAGACGGGGUACUGCUGGCACUCAAAUACCAGGAGGAUCACAGAGAGGGGGCGUACAGGAACGGAGGCCUGUCCUGUCCAAAACUGAGAACACGGGCACGCAGGGUUCUGCUUUCGUGCGGCAUCUCUGCAGUUGACAGCACACUUUGGAAACAGCUGGGUAGACGCCAGUGCAGAUCCUGUGCACCAUGUCUGAACUCGCUGGGAUGAGCCUUGUAGGACCCAGAACAGGACCUGUAUCUGUCUUCACACAGGCUGCCAUCACAUCAUCCAGGUGGGGGCUGUGCAUAGGUGGUGGUGGAGGGGAGUCCCUAUUACCUGUAAAGUGCUUUGAGUGGAGUGUCCAAAAAAAAAGCACUGUUUAAGUGUAAGUAAUUGUAUUGCAGAACAUGUUUUUAAGUGCUUGGAGCUGAGCAGUAA
Molecule: long non-coding RNA, 851 nt
Organism: Lepisosteus oculatus (spotted gar)
Lineage: Eukaryota; Metazoa; Chordata; Actinopteri; Semionotiformes; Lepisosteidae
Source: RefSeq, a predicted model, not a curated record